UACGGGGGGAGCAAGCGUUGUUCGGAUUUACUGGGCGUAAAGAGCGCGCAGGCGGUCGGAUCAGUCGAAUGUGAAAGCCCUCGGCUUAACUGGGGAGGGUCAUUCGAUACUGUUCGACUCGAAGGCAGGAGAGGGAAGUGGAAUUCCCGGUGUAGUGGUGAAAUGUGUAGAUAUCGGGAGGAACACCAGUGGCGAAGGCGACUUUCUGGCCUGUUCUUGACGCUGAGGCGCGAAAGCUAGGGGAGCAAACGGG
RNAcentral lists this ribosomal RNA (253 nucleotides) under uncultured bacterium. Its description in RNAcentral is "partial 16S ribosomal RNA". It matches the Rfam family "Bacterial small subunit ribosomal RNA", at positions 524 to 776 of the family's 1533-position model. The record is from RNAcentral.